Molecule: long non-coding RNA, 418 nt
Organism: Lycium ferocissimum
Lineage: Eukaryota; Viridiplantae; Streptophyta; Magnoliopsida; Solanales; Solanaceae
Exons: 2
Source: RefSeq, a predicted model, not a curated record
CUCGUCGGCCUCGUCAUCACAUGGCGGGUAUGCGCCACGGAUAUUGAUCAAGCUAUGCACACAAUGUCGUUGAAUCCGCCCGAUGACAGGAAUUGGUACAUGGACACCGGAGCCACAUCUCAUAUGACCAACUCCCAAGGAUUUACAGACGGGGAGCAAACUCAUGAGAUGUGAGAGUUCGGGUGAUCUUUAUCCAUUCUUCCCAAAUUUUCGAGCCAUCUCGCCAUUCGCACCAUCUGCUUUUAGUGUCAUCUCUCCUCAUAUCUGGCACUCCCGUUUAGGUCAUCCGGGGGAUGUUAUUCUUAGUUCUUUACGUAGUAGUAAUUUGAUUGAAUGUAAUAAGGCUCGAAACAAUGUUUGUCAUUCUUGCCCUCUGGGGAAAUUAAUUAAAUUGCCUUUUUAUGACUCUCUUUCAACU